RNAcentral lists this ribosomal RNA (474 nucleotides) under uncultured bacterium. Its description in RNAcentral is "bacterial SSU rRNA". It matches the Rfam family "Bacterial small subunit ribosomal RNA", at positions 17 to 477 of the family's 1533-position model. The record is from RNAcentral.
UCAUGGCUCAGGACGAACGCGGCGGCGUGCCUAAUACAUGCAAGUCGAACGCUUCUUUCCUCCCGAGUGCUUGCACUCAAUUGGAAAGAGGAGUGGCGGACGGGUGAGUAACACGUGGGUAACCUACCCAUCAGAGGGGGAUAACACUUGGAAACAGGUGCUAAUACCGCAUAACAGUUUAUGCCGCAUGGCAUAAGAGUGAAAGGCGCUUUCGGGUGUCGCUGAUGGAUGGACCCGCGGUGCAUUAGCUAGUUGGUGAGGUAACGGCUCACCAAGGCUACGAUGCAUAGCCGACCUGAGAGGGUGAUCGGCCACACUGGGACUGAGACACGGCCCAGACUCCUACGGGAGGCAGCAGUAGGGAAUCUUCGGCAAUGGACGAAAGUCUGACCGAGCAACGCCGCGUGAGUGAAGAAGGUUUUCGGAUCGUAAAACUCUGUUGUUAGAGAAGAACAAGGACGUUAGUAACUGAAC